RNAcentral lists this non-coding RNA (48 nucleotides) under Trichobilharzia regenti. The record is from RNAcentral. Lineage: Eukaryota; Metazoa; Platyhelminthes; Trematoda; Strigeidida; Schistosomatidae.
GUACUGAUGAAGAAUCCCAAGCAAUAGGACGAAACAGCUGUCGAGUAC